UAUCUCUGUAGAGUCUGCAUAUCAAUAAGCGGAGGAAAAGAAACUAACUAGGAUUCCCUCAGUAACGGCGAGUGAAGCGGGAAGAGCUCAAAAUUUGAAAUCUUCAAGGUUUUACCUUGACGAAUUGUAGUUUAAAGAAGUGUUUUCUGUUGGAGUUUUGGUAAAAGUUCUUUGGAAUAGGACAUCAUAGAGGGUGAGAAUCCCGUAUUUGACCAUUAUUUUCCAGCUUUGUGAUACACUUUCAAAGAGUCGGAUUGUUUGGGAAUGCAGUCCAAAAUGGGUGGUAAAUUUCAUCUAAAGCUAAAUAUUGGCGAGAGACCGAUAGCGAACAAGUACCGUGAGGGAAAGAUGAAAAGAACUUUGAAAAGAGAGUUAAACAGUACGUGAAAUUGUCAAAAGGGAAGCGUUUGACACCAGUGUUGUUUUCUCGAAAAUCAAUUAAAAAAGGCGAGGAUUUUGUGUUGUAUUGACUUUAUCAGCUUUCUGCACUCUUUUCUUGUCUUUUUUAAUGCACUUUUCGUUUAACAAGUCAACAUCAAUUUCUUUUGUUGUAAAAGGGUCAUUGGAAGGUGGCUUUCUUUUCGGAGAAAGUGUUUAUAGCCUUUGGCCUCUGCAAUCGGAGAGAUUGAGGUCUGCAGCGUAGAUCCUUCGGGGUUAGAUACAUUUGUGCUAAGUUAUAGCCUUUCAUAGACAACUUGUUGACUAUGAUCAGUCAUGUAGCUUACUCGUUUAUGCUAUUUUACCUACGCUUAGGAUGUUGAGUCAUCACACAUCUCUA
RNAcentral lists this ribosomal RNA (778 nucleotides) under uncultured Neocallimastigales. RNAcentral describes it as "partial large subunit ribosomal RNA". It matches the Rfam family "Eukaryotic large subunit ribosomal RNA", at positions 24 to 615 of the family's 3401-position model. The record is from RNAcentral. Lineage: Eukaryota; Fungi; Neocallimastigomycota; Neocallimastigomycetes; Neocallimastigales.